Molecule: ribosomal RNA, 505 nt
Filed under: uncultured bacterium
Lineage: Bacteria
Description: partial 16S ribosomal RNA
Rfam family: Bacterial small subunit ribosomal RNA
Source: RNAcentral
GACGAACGCUGGCGGCGUGCCUAAUACAUGCAAGUAGAACGCACAGUUUAUACCGUAGCUUGCUACACCAUAGACUGUGAGUUGCGAACGGGUGAGUAACGCGUAGGUAACCUGCCUGGUAGCGGGGGAUAACUAUUGGAAACGAUAGCUAAUACCGCAUAAUAUUAAUUAUUGCAUGAUAAUUAAUUGAAAGGUGCAAUUGCACCACUACCAGAUGGACCUACGUUGUAUUAGCUAGUAGGUGAGGUAACGGCUCACCUAGGCGACGAUACAUAGCCGACCUGAGAGGGUGAUCGGCCACACUGGGACUGAGACACGGCCCAGACUCCUACGGGAGGCAGCAGUAGGGAAUCUUCGGCAAUGGACGAAAGUCUGACCGAGCAACGCCGCGUGAGUGAAGAAGGUUGUCGGAUCGUAAAGCUCUGUUGUAAGAGAAGAACGGGUGUGAGAGUGGAAAGUUCACACUGUGACGGUAUCUUACCAGAAAGGGACGGCUAACUACGUG